This 292-nucleotide ribosomal RNA is filed under the name uncultured bacterium. RNAcentral's name for it is "partial 16S ribosomal RNA". It matches the Rfam family "Bacterial small subunit ribosomal RNA", at positions 505 to 796 of the family's 1533-position model. The record is from RNAcentral.
GUGCCAGCCGCCGCGGUAAUACGUAGGGGGCUAGCGUUGUCCGGAUUUAUUGGGCGUAAAGAGCGUGUAGGCGGCCAGGUAGGUCUGCUGUGAAAACUCGAGGCUCAACCUCGAGACGUCGGCGGAAACCAUCUGGCUAGAGUCCGGAAGAGGAGAGUGGAAUUCCUGGUGUAGCGGUGAAAUGCGCAGAUAUCAGGAAGAACACCCGUGGCGAAGGCGGCUCUCUGGGACGGUACUGACGCUGAGACGCGAAAGCGUGGGGAGCGAACAGGAUUAGAUACCCCAGUAGUCC